RNAcentral lists this ribosomal RNA (441 nucleotides) under uncultured bacterium. Its description in RNAcentral is "partial 16S ribosomal RNA". It matches the Rfam family "Bacterial small subunit ribosomal RNA", at positions 338 to 795 of the family's 1533-position model. The record is from RNAcentral.
CCUACGGGCGGCAGCAGUAGGGAAUUUUGCGCAAUGGGGGAAACCCUGACGCAGCAACGCCGCGUGAUCGAUGAAGCCCUUCGGGGUGGAAAGAUCUGUCAGUGGGGACGAAACCUGGCGGUACCCACAGAGGAAGCACCGGCUAAAUCCGGGCCAGCAGCCGCGGUAAUACGGGGGGUGCAGGCGUUGUCCGGAAUCAUUGGGCGUAAGGGGUUCGUAGGUGGCACGUUAAGUCUGGUGUUAAAGACGGAAGGUCAACUUCCGUAGGGCACUGGAAACUGGCGAGCUUGAAUGCGGUAGAGGUAAAGGGAAUGCCUGGUGUAGCGGUGAAAUGCGUAGAUAUCAGGAGGAACACCGGUGGCGUAGGCGCUUUACUGGGCCGUAAUUGACACUGAGGAACGAAAGCCGGGGUAGCAAAUGGGAUUAGAUACCCCAGUAGUC